Fukomys damarensis (Damara mole-rat) is the source of this 682-nucleotide long non-coding RNA. RefSeq lists it as uncharacterized. The transcript has 3 exons. NCBI's taxonomy places the organism in Eukaryota, Metazoa, Chordata, Mammalia, Rodentia, Bathyergidae. The record is from RefSeq and is a predicted model, not a curated record.
CACUAUGGCUCCUGGACUCCAAAGAGGUAUUUACUACUCAUGAGAAGGUGAGGAAGUCGGAGACCCCUUAAGGAGAAAGUCCACAGAGGAAAAGGCAGGGUGUCACUCAAACACGCUGAAGUGAAUUGGUCACUGGAAAUGAGACAAAAUCUGCCAAAAGAAUCCUCUUUGGGGGAGUUUGACUAUGAGACAUUCAGAAGACGCUAACCUUCAGGAAUGGGAAACAGAAGCUGAGAGCCAGAGACAAGAAGCAGCACGCAGAAACCACGGGGAGGCACAAGGCACAGAAGUAAACAGCAGUGAUCGUCAAUAAUAACAGGAGGAGGAGAAACAGGCAAAGCACAGCCCGGUUCCUCCGACAUAAGUCGCUUCUGCAGACUUCCUCGGGCCUAGGCCGUACUUGGCCACCCCGGCUCCCCUUGGCCCAGAUGAAGGACAGAAUAUGCAGAUGCCGCAGCCAGGAAGUCAAAGUCCAAUUUGCUUUCCCCAGGCAAGGAAGGCAGAGGUCUUGGCCCAGCCAGGGAAGAAACAAGCAGAACUUAGCUGUGGACUCACUGUCUCCCUCCGCCAUGUGCCUUGCUGUGAAAGACUAAGUCAUCUGCACAGGGGACACGGUGACGCGAGCAGAUGGGUCCCUCAUCUCCUCAGAGCUAGCUUUGAAUAAAUCCUUUCAUUCCUCUUU